Long non-coding RNA from Gasterosteus aculeatus aculeatus (three-spined stickleback), 1456 nucleotides. NCBI's taxonomy places the organism in Eukaryota, Metazoa, Chordata, Actinopteri, Perciformes, Gasterosteidae. The record is from Ensembl.
CAUCCUCCACAAGCUAACCCCAUGUUGAAUAAAAUAAAUAACAUCAUGUUAGGAACUAUACAAAAUUAUCAAAAAAGGAGACAAAUUUUGUAGUUUUACAUAAAUACCUUUGGUUAAUACCGUCCUCCUGAGGCUGUGGCAAUGCCAACGCCAGAUCUCAUUGCAAGUCAUUGAAUUAAGUGGCAAUUUCAGGCCAUCAGAAUGUUAUGUAAGUGAGAAUUCUCUCCUUAAUCCAAGCAUGCAAUUCUAUGAAUAUCAAUGGGAAAACUCCAUUCUGGAUAAGCCGUUACAUCUGUCUCUCUGUCUUUAUAUUACUUUUUCUUGUCUUUUCUCCAUCCGCCUCCCAUCUGCUACCAAUACGCGUUCCUCCUUUACCUGCGUACGUUUUGCUUAUUUAACAUGAAAAGUUAACUCCCCAAACUGUUCACUCAGGCACAUCUCACAAUGCAAACAAUCUGGGUUUUUUUUUAAAUUAUGCACGAGUGAUUAAAUUCUUCUCCUACUGCCCUCCCAAUCAGGCAUUGUCUCAUCGAAGAAGGAAGAUUUAUGUGCGGACAGCAGAUGCCUGAAUUAGAUACAUCAUCUCGUACUCAUGCAAUCAUGCAGAUUGCAUGUGUGUAACGGGAGUCAUUUGGUAUCGUGCCCUUGAGUCACGACACACACAGAUGCCAGCGGUAUUCAGGGUCAUCUUUUUAAUUUGUGAAAGUGAUGUGAAACAAAGACAAUGAAGAGAGUCUUUCCAAAAAAGCAAUGGGAACCCGGGAGUCCUUGGAGGCUUACGGGAGACUCCUGACUGUGUGACGUCCCGGAUGACGUCCUUGUGAUUUGUGGAAAUAAACUAUAUGUCCUUGGGUAAAGAACAUGGUCUGAAUCCACCGGCGGAUAACACAACACCCCCCGUUUCAUUAUGGUAUCUUUCAGCGCCGCAGAUGAAAACCUUUUAACACACACGUGGAUACGUGCUGUGCCAUCAUCCGUUCCUUUUCAAUAAUUGGGGGAAUCAAAAAUAACCAACAGGAAGCAAGUUAACAUGUUUUGCAUUUAACUGCUGUAUUGAAAGCUUUGUUGAUGUGGCACAGGAUGCUUACUUCUCAUGACUAAUUCGAGAAGAAUUAAAAACGACUCAUGGCUGCUGGUUCAUUAGGCGACGCAGAGCUGUCCUACUCGGCAGGCGCCGUUAAUCCAGAUUGAAACCUGAUGAAAACAACCUGCUGCGGCUCAGUUUACACACUCAGACCGGCGAUUCUCUCAACAGAAACACGCCUGUCAGUGUGAAGGAAUUCUCUCUCCGUCACCUGUUCGAGUGAGCAGCAAACACAGCAGACCAACACGUCUACCCAACAACGCGCCAGCCAGGGUUCCUUCUAUUGGCUUCCCUUUGAUGUGACACGAGGGAUCACGGGCAACUUUCAAGCUGUUGCCUACAGAUAACAGACGGUUUGAUCUUUUGCAGCUG